AUGUCGGCAGGUAUAUUUAAGCUGGGAACGGAUAACGUUAUUCUCUGAAGGCUCACAACAGCAGUUGGAAAAUUUUCCAAAUUUUUAUCAAUGGAAAUAGGAAGUUUCUUAUGUUGUAGCACUGCACCAUGCCACGCAAGAUUCACGAGCUUUGUGCCUCUCUGCAAAAAUUUGAAGCCGCGGUGCGAUGUUAGUUUCCUACAGAACUCCUCUUCCAAGAUUAGCCGGCAAAAGCAAAGUAUUCCAAUGUUUUUAGAAAAAAGGAACGCGUUUCAAAGUAUUUGUAAGGCAAGAGGAAAAACAAUCUCUCUAACAGAUGACAAGUUAACAAUGGAGGUUGAAACCCCAGGAGGCGAGGCAACAGAAGAUCUGGACAAUUUCCCGACUCUUGCCGGCAUUUCAUCAGAGUACAUCGAAUCAUUGCCUCCCCCAGUAAAGAAACGAGUAGAAGCAUUGCAAGAACUGCAGGGUCAACAUAAGGAGCUAGAGAUCAAUUAUUUUGAAGAAAAGGUUGCCUUGGAGAUCAAAUAUCAAAAUCUUUAUGAACCUCUCUACAAGAAGCGUUAUGACAUUGUGAAUGGAGUAGUGGAUGUUGAAGACGCUAAAAAGCAAGAAGCUGCUGAUCUUGAAGAGGGAGUUCCUGAAUUUUGGUUGACGGCCAUGACAAACAAUGACACUUUGGCAAUGCAGAUAACAGAACGCGAUGAAGAUGCCUUGAAAUUCUUGAAGGACAUAAGAUAUUCUCCUUUUGACAGUGACAAUCACGAGAGUGGUUUUAAGUUAGAAUUUUUCUUCAGUGAGAACCCUUAUUUUAAGAACAGUGUGUUAACAAAGAUAUACUACAUGAUAGAUGAAAAUGAACCUAUCUUGGAUCGUGUGGUAGGAACCGAAAUUGAUUGGUUACCUGGAAAGAACCUUACACGAAAGGUCUUGAGGAAGAAGCCAAAGAAAGGAGCCAAGGAUGUAAAGCCAGUGACCAAAAUUGAGAAAUGCCAGAGCUUUUUCAAUUUCUUUGAUCCACCCAAGUUUCCUGAAGAUGAUGAUAUUGAUGAAGAUGCUGCUGAGGAAUUUCAAAAUGCGAUGGAGCAAGACUUCGAGAUUGGAUUUACAAUCAGGGAUAAGCUUAUCCCCCAUGCAGUGUCUUGGUUCUCUGGGGAAGCAAUUGAUGCUUUUGAUGAUGAGAAGCUUUUUGAAAAUGAUCUAGAUUGAGGAAGAGGAUGAAAAUCACAAACAGAAAAAACCAAUUGCCACCAAAAUGUUUAGGCAUUGUGUUCUUUUCAAUAUAACCAAAAGGAGCUUAUCUCCUCUUAUAUGGCUGUAGAAUGGUUUCAAAAUCCAGCAUAGAUUUUGGUGAAGCAUUUAUUCUUGCUAUAUUUUCUGUUCUCUAAUCCACCGAGCUUUCCUUUUACAAGGUUUUCCAUUCAACAGAUUGUUCUAUUAGGAUAUGCUUGUCCAAUAGGAUUUUAUAAAAGUUCAAAGAAUUUUUGGUGGUUAGAUUUUUAGAAACAACCACCUGUGUUCAAGCAACCGUAAAGUAUUCACAAGAAGCACCUGAGUUCAAUUGCAUAUUUUAUGCGCUUCAGCCAUGUAAGAGGGAAUUUUUAAGAUAUACGCGGAAGGUAGUUUGUAUUUCAGAAUAGUUCCUUACAGGUUUGAGACCCUUGCUAUUGUCAAGAAUAGUUCUUUUUGUGGCCUAUAGUUUUGUUAUUUAUUGAUUCAUUUUGAAUAUUUAUGAUCAAAUUUCAUCUAA
Molecule: RNA transcript, 1750 nt
Organism: Cryptomeria japonica (Japanese cedar)
Lineage: Eukaryota; Viridiplantae; Streptophyta; Pinopsida; Cupressales; Cupressaceae
Gene name: nucleosome assembly protein 1;2-like
Exons: 11
Source: RefSeq, a predicted model, not a curated record